This 30-nucleotide non-coding RNA is filed under the name Mus musculus (house mouse). Lineage: Eukaryota; Metazoa; Chordata; Mammalia; Rodentia; Muridae. The record is from RNAcentral.
UGCCACUUGAGAGAACAAUAGAUUAUUGGU